This 1534-nucleotide ribosomal RNA is filed under the name Lactiplantibacillus plantarum. Its description in RNAcentral is "Lactobacillus plantarum partial 16S ribosomal RNA". It matches the Rfam family "Bacterial small subunit ribosomal RNA". Lineage: Bacteria; Bacillati; Bacillota; Bacilli; Lactobacillales; Lactobacillaceae. The record is from RNAcentral.
UCAGGACGAACGCUGGCGGCGUGCCUAAUACAUGCAAGUCGAACGAACUCUGGUAUUGAUUGGUGCUUGCAUCAUGAUUUACAUUUGAGUGAGUGGCGAACUGGUGAGUAACACGUGGGAAACCUGCCCAGAAGCGGGGGAUAACACCUGGAAACAGAUGCUAAUACCGCAUAACAACUUGGACCGCAUGGUCCGAGUUUGAAAGAUGGCUUCGGCUAUCACUUUUGGAUGGUCCCGCGGCGUAUUAGCUAGAUGGUGAGGUAACGGCUCACCAUGGCAAUGAUACGUAGCCGACCUGAGAGGGUAAUCGGCCACAUUGGGACUGAGACACGGCCCAAACUCCUACGGGAGGCAGCAGUAGGGAAUCUUCCACAAUGGACGAAAGUCUGAUGGAGCAACGCCGCGUGAGUGAAGAAGGGUUUCGGCUCGUAAAACUCUGUUGUUAAAGAAGAACAUAUCUGAGAGUAACUGUUCAGGUAUUGACGGUAUUUAACCAGAAAGCCACGGCUAACUACGUGCCAGCAGCCGCGGUAAUACGUAGGUGGCAAGCGUUGUCCGGAUUUAUUGGGCGUAAAGCGAGCGCAGGCGGUUUUUUAAGUCUGAUGUGAAAGCCUUCGGCUCAACCGAAGAAGUGCAUCGGAAACUGGGAAACUUGAGUGCAGAAGAGGACAGUGGAACUCCAUGUGUAGCGGUGAAAUGCGUAGAUAUAUGGAAGAACACCAGUGGCGAAGGCGGCUGUCUGGUCUGUAACUGACGCUGAGGCUCGAAAGUAUGGGUAGCAAACAGGAUUAGAUACCCUGGUAGUCCAUACCGUAAACGAUGAAUGCUAAGUGUUGGAGGGUUUCCGCCCUUCAGUGCUGCAGCUAACGCAUUAAGCAUUCCGCCUGGGGAGUACGGCCGCAAGGCUGAAACUCAAAGGAAUUGACGGGGGCCCGCACAAGCGGUGGAGCAUGUGGUUUAAUUCGAAGCUACGCGAAGAACCUUACCAGGUCUUGACAUACUAUGCAAAUCUAAGAGAUUAGACGUUCCCUUCGGGGACAUGGAUACAGGUGGUGCAUGGUUGUCGUCAGCUCGUGUCGUGAGAUGUUGGGUUAAGUCCCGCAACGAGCGCAACCCUUAUUAUCAGUUGCCAGCAUUAAGUUGGGCACUCUGGUGAGACUGCCGGUGACAAACCGGAGGAAGGUGGGGAUGACGUCAAAUCAUCAUGCCCCUUAUGACCUGGGCUACACACGUGCUACAAUGGAUGGUACAACGAGUUGCGAACUCGCGAGAGUAAGCUAAUCUCUUAAAGCCAUUCUCAGUUCGGAUUGUAGGCUGCAACUCGCCUACAUGAAGUCGGAAUCGCUAGUAAUCGCGGAUCAGCAUGCCGCGGUGAAUACGUUCCCGGGCCUUGUACACACCGCCCGUCACACCAUGAGAGUUUGUAACACCCAAAGUCGGUGGGGUAACCUUUUAGGAACCAGCCGCCUAAGGUGGGACAGAUGAUUAGGGUGAAGUCGUAACAAGGUAGCCGUAGGAGAACCUGCGGCUGGAU